Molecule: transfer RNA, 108 nt
Filed under: Micromonospora parathelypteridis
Lineage: Bacteria; Bacillati; Actinomycetota; Actinomycetes; Micromonosporales; Micromonosporaceae
Description: tRNA-Ser
Source: RNAcentral
GGCGGAACGAGAAGGAGCAGGUCAGCACACCUGACGCGGCCAAGAUCGCGGACGCCCUGUAAAUCCGUCGCGAAAGCUUCAGAGGUUCGAAUCCUCUACCCGCCACCA